This 2586-nucleotide ribosomal RNA is filed under the name Triticum aestivum (bread wheat). Its description in RNAcentral is "partial small subunit ribosomal RNA". Lineage: Eukaryota; Viridiplantae; Streptophyta; Magnoliopsida; Poales; Poaceae. The record is from RNAcentral.
AUGAAGGAGUUGUGUGGGAUGGAGCAGCAAGAAUCCAUCAACAUAACAGCUGCCAUGGAGGCUCUAUGCCCCUUGCUGAAUAACCCGCGGAGAACCAUCCACCAGGCGGAGGCUUUCACGUCGGGGAUCAUACUGCUGCUGCUCCUGCAGCUCAUCCUCGGCUCCUUCAGACGGCAGUCGGCCAGCUUCUUGGUCCAAGCUGGCACCUGGGUGACCUACACCGUGUCGUUCCCAGCCAUCGCCUACACCCUGGGCUUGAUGCAGUCCUCUCCGGUGAAGAAUGUCAUGUACCCCAUCUGGGCCGUCUCACUGCUGAUGGCCGCCGGGUGCACUAACGCCGUCAAGGUCUACGAGCUCAACGACAACAGGCAAUGGAAGCGGGGUUUGUUCAACAGCCUCCAGUAUGGCACGUACGCUUCUUUAAUCUGUUGGCUACUUUUCCCCUAUAGCAUGAGCAUAAAGGGGUAUCUCGGCCCAGCCGUUCUAUCACAGGCCUACUUUGCACAUAUCUUGUCUCCUGCAUAUGUCGUCACUCUUCUGGGCUCCUUUGUUCUGAAUACGGGACUUAUGGGCAAAGAGCUUGCAUGCGUGUUGGUUGAGCUCGGGUAUUUCAGGGCCAGGAGAGUUGCCAAGUUCAUGAAGAACCUGCCUGCUGAUGAUGGUGAUGGGUUCGAUCCUGCCAGGAUGAAAGGUUACAAGUACCCUGUUCACAUUUUUGGUGUCGGUGGUGAGCUCACCAUCGACCAAAUCUGGCUCUGUGAAGGCAGGCUCCUCAGCUCAGGUACUGUUCACAGCAAGGAGCUCAAGGACUUGUGCCUGGCUAAAUCGAUGUAUCAGUUACUGAAGCGGCGCUACUAUGGGAUGUCAUUCGCCGAGGAGCACCUUGAUGAAACCCGUGAUUUUGUCUUCAGGGGGUUGCUACGGACAGAAGGUGACUAUGAGCGAGCUUUCCGGAUUGUCGAAAUGGAGUUAGGGUUCUGCCAUGACUACUUCUUUACUAAACAUGCCAUCAUCUUUGAGCUGGAGACACUAUUCUUCUUUCUCUUCCUUGUGAGGAUUGCUCUGAUUGCCACAUGUGUAUCCUUUGUCGUGAAGGGUACACUAUCUGUCAAGACACUCAGCCCUAUCAUUGAAGUGCACAGCAAAAAGACUGACGGCAUCAUCACUCUCCUUGUUUUGGCCAUAUUCCUGCUCGUAGAAAUCCUUCAAACUGCAUUUUAUUUGGCCUCGGAUUGGUGCAAGGUGUCAGUUACUUGUAGGUAUGUCAAAACAUCUUGGUAUCAACGCAAUGCUUUCAUCGAGAAGCUUAUCGGCUAUAUUAGCAGAUUUACAAUACUCGGGUACUGGAAGAAUAAUAUUGGCCAGUACUCGAUAAUUCCGCACAUCACCGCCGCUGAUUCAUCUAGGGACAGUCGCACAGUAAACAGGCUGCAAACAGUCAAGCGGGCUAUUGCAAGGUCACUAAUAGCAUGCGACGGUCCACCAACAAAUGGAGAAGGGUCAUUCCGGAGGAGUGGUGACGGGGAAUACUUGAAUGGGACAACUGAAAAUGAGCAUGACACAAAUUUCAACAGGAAUGUUUCAGUCAGCCUGUCAAGAUACUGCGCAUACCUGAUGAACUGUGCUCCAGAAUUGCUUCCAGGAUACUUUGGAGACACAAAGUUGGCCAUGGCUGAUGUUAUGAAUGGUUUACAAGACCAAGAGGAAGACGGGAGCAUCUUCCUGAGAGGUGUGAAGCUUGGAAAGCAGCUAGAGGACAAGCCGAGCAGUGCUGCUCGUUGGAAGAUACUUGCAGAUUUCUGGGCUGAGAAGAUCCUCUACAUCGCACCAUCUGAUAAUGCGAAAGGGCACAUGGAACUUCUCGCAAAAGGAGGGGAGCUUCUCACCCACAUCUGGGUGCACGCGUACACGUCCGCCUCCUUGGCCCACUUCGCCGCCGUCUUUCCGAUGUACGAGCCGCCGGAUCCAUCCCUAGUCUCUUCUCCGGCUGCGGUACUGCCACCAUCGCCGAUGCGGACCCCGCCUCCCUCACAACCAUGGGACAUCGACAUGGCGGGCGAGGUGGCGUGGCUAUUGGCUAAAGCAUCUUGUCACGAAGGCGCAAAUCGACAUGCACCGCGCCGACGAAGCCCUCAUGGCGCAAAUGGGCGGCGACCUAGAGUCCAAGACUACAUGCAGAAGCAGCUCGUCAUCGACCGCUCCUUCGAGUCGCUCCGGGACGACGAGGAAAAAAGGGAGGAGAUGCAGCCUCCCCCGGCUCCGGCUCCGGCUUUGCCUAAGUUGUGGAUGGUGGACGCGCUCCUAAAGUUUCACGACGUCUUUAGGUCGCUUCCUCCCGGCGAGCAGGAGAAGAUCUUGCAGGAUCUGAGCCAGGAGAUGCAGCCGCCACCGGCUCCGGCAGCUCCUCCAUCCGUUGUCCCGCGAGGCGCUGACUGCGGCUACGGCAACGAGGACAUCAUCGAACGGCCUGGCUACGGUUGUGGCUACGGCCUGGAGUUCGCCGGCGCGAACGAGUUCAGCGUCACGGAGCAGCCCCGUGUGUAUUGGCGCGCAACCGUCGAUGACGUCAUCUUGACGUGCCGCUGA